CAGGCUUGAGGGCCUGCUUUUUUCUACCUUGACCCCAAAAACCAUCCAUUGAAAUCCACAGUAAACAGCAUUUGCCUACAGUUACAAAGUCCAGGAAUUUGAUUGCUGUCAGAAUAAAACUCACAGUCCCUCUGCAGCAAGGUCUGCUUUUGUUGACUUCAACCAUUUUAGCCAUAUUUAUUAAGGAUAGGUGCUUUGGAGAAUAGUUUGACUCCCUCUUCUUUGUGGCAACCCCUCACACAUGUGCAGUUGAGUGAAAAUGUCAGAAAAAAGGGAAAACAGCUGAGGAGCGGCAAUUCAAGUUGCCGCUCCAAAUCAGGUGGGCUUCGGAAGCUGGAAUAAAGAGAAAGUGGGCAUCCUACUUUCCCUUCGUCUCCUUGGCAAUCGUCCCACUCACCAAUUGAAGUUACAAAUGGAUAUUAUAGGCAAGUAGGCAGUUUCAAGAUGCCUAUAAAACUCUCUGGCUUAAUUUUACCUGCAUGUAUCAGUAGUAUUUACAUUCUCCAAAAUGAUCCACACUGCAAAAGGAGAUUGCAAAAAUUUGUACUAAGGUUUUGUGAUAUUUGGCACUAUGGUAUAUGUGAAAGCUAUAAUUACUUGAAGAACAAUCAUAAAACCAUUGCUCAGAUUUUUGAGGAAAAGAAGCUGAGAAUAGCCAGCCUGCACCUGAUGCUCUGAGACAGUCAAAAUAAAAAAAUAAAUUUUAUAAAUAAAUACAAUAAGAAAAUAAGAAAUCUAUAUGGUCCUAAUCUGAAUAUUAGGCCAAAUGAGGUAUACUAAAAUAUACUAGUAUACUAUACUAAAAUGCAUUUUUUUUGUAUUUAAGACUCUAUAUGGGAAGGUACUGUUGAUGAGAUUGUUCCAUUAAAAAUAAUCUUCUUUAUUAGUGAA
Molecule: long non-coding RNA, 891 nt
Organism: Thamnophis elegans (Western terrestrial garter snake)
Lineage: Eukaryota; Metazoa; Chordata; Lepidosauria; Squamata; Natricidae
Exons: 3
Source: RefSeq, a predicted model, not a curated record